This 517-nucleotide ribosomal RNA is filed under the name uncultured bacterium. Its description in RNAcentral is "bacterial SSU rRNA". It matches the Rfam family "Bacterial small subunit ribosomal RNA", at positions 8 to 527 of the family's 1533-position model. The record is from RNAcentral.
AGAGUUUGAUCCUGGCUCAGAUUGAACGCUGGCGGCAGGCCUCAUACAUGCAAGUCGAACGAGAAAGUAUCUUCGGAUACGAGUACAGUGGCGGACGGGUGAGUAAUACAUAGGAAUCUACCCAAUGGAGGGGGAUAGCUCGAGGAAACUCGAAUUAAUACCGCAUAAUCUCCACGGAGUAAAGAGGGCUUCGGCUCUCGCCAUCGGAUGAGCCUAUGCAGGAUUAGCUUGUUGGUGAGGUAAAGGCUUACCAAGGCGACGAUCCUUAGCUGGUUUGAGAGGAUGACCAGCCACAUCGGGACUGAGACACGGCCCGGACUUCUACGGAAGGCAGCAGUAGGGAAUAUUGGACAAUGAGCGAAAGCUUGAUCCAGCCAUGCCGCGUGUGCGAUGACGGCCCUCGGGUUGUAAAGCACUUUAGGUAACGAGGAAAAGUUAGGUGUUAAUACCAUCUAACCUUGACGUUAAUUACAGAAUAAGCACCGGCUAAAUCCGUGCCAGCAGCCGCGGUAAUUCA